CACAAUUGUUGAUGAAGUUCAUAUCAUUGUGAUGAAACCCAAUAAGAAUGAUGGUUUAGAACCCCAAGAUUGUG
This 74-nucleotide small RNA is filed under the name Salix viminalis (osier). Lineage: Eukaryota; Viridiplantae; Streptophyta; Magnoliopsida; Malpighiales; Salicaceae. The record is from RNAcentral.